This is a long non-coding RNA of Capra hircus (goat), 1816 nucleotides long. RefSeq lists it as uncharacterized. The transcript has 3 exons. The record is from RefSeq and is a predicted model, not a curated record. NCBI's taxonomy places the organism in Eukaryota, Metazoa, Chordata, Mammalia, Artiodactyla, Bovidae.
CUUCUCGGCCCUUGCCGCCCCCAAAGUUAAGGCCGCCCCGGGGCCGGGCUACGGUGCAGGCUCGCCGCCUCAGCCGGCCCCGUGCGCUGUCCGUCCGUUGGAAGCCCUGAGGAGCUCGGAAGUUUUUCAUUUGGGGCGGGGAAAGGUCUUGAACUUGCUCAGAGUUGUGGGGUGAAGCCACAGCUUUCUGGAGGCAUUUGGGGAACGUGAAGAACGUCAGAGACAAAUUGGUGCUGGCAGUUACUGUGUUGUGGUUUUACACCUGCGGUCAGCCCUCAGAUGUGGAAGCUAAGGCUUUGGAAAGGAGAGCCUGGCUCAGGGUCACAGAGCCAGCGAGGAGGAGACAUGAGACUCAAACCCAGGUCUCUUGAACCCCAGGCCUUUUCCUGUGUUCUCCUGCACCUUGGAUGUCAGGGGUCCCAAAAAACAGAUGGCACAUAUCAGCUGGGUAAUUUGACACAAGGUAUAGGGAAACAGCUAUGGAGUGUGAAAUAUUCUGAGGCUAGUCACAGUGGGAUUGUAACCACCUCUGCGCCCAGAGAUAAGGAAACUGACUAGUGAAUCAGCAAGAGGAAUGGAGGUAUGGACAACUGAGCUGACAUUUGCCUCUCUGGGAUCUUGUGUAUGAUAGUUCCUCUGUGGAUGUUUGUGGGGUGAAAGAAUGAAAGAGGAGCACAUAAGAGGCCAGAUUCUUUGAAGAAUUGCCCUGAAGAUCCAUAGCUGUGCCUCUUCUCUCCAGGACAGGGGGAUUGGUGUCAGUGUCUCUCCUGCCGCUUUGUGAUAAGCCAGGUUAUUCAUGUUAAAAGAGUAGGUAUAUAGAUCUGAAAAAACAAAAAAACCUUGGACAUUUUGCCUUUCCUGUAGAGGAUAGUGUUGGAGUUAAAAGCAUUUCUCUUUCUGCAGCCAUCGUUCCCUGUCCCCUGAUUUCUGGUUCCCCCCACAGUCUGGGCAGGAGCCCAGGUGCUGCCUCUCAUCCCUGCUCAACUCCUACACUCCACCCACAAGCUCGAUUCUGCUAAUUGCAUCGCUGUGCCACUCCUGGAACACAGUGUUGUUGGGGGACAAACCAAAGACCAAUGUGAUAGGGAGUAUUUUUCCAGCAUCCCUAAAGUGGCCUGCCAUGGAGCAGAACCUCAGCUCAGAAGCUUUGGGUUCUUUCCUCUAGGAACCUCUUCCUUCACCACCACCACCCUCCCACUUCAGAAUCCUCUUUUAUUGGCCUCUUCCUUCCUCAAGGGUCCCCCAAAGUUGUUGUUCAUUGUCUUAGCACCUCAGACGUGGAGAUGGAACCUGACAUUCAGUGACCACAUGCCGUGUGCCCGAUGCUGCCAGAUGCUCCUAGCCACAAUCUCCUUUCAUUUCUUAGUGAUCCACUUAGUAGAAAGUAGCAGGGAGGGACUUUGCAGAAAAGCAAGAUUCUGGUUAGGUAAUGUGUUCAGGAUCACACAGCUCUUUUUUUUUUAAGGUUUUUUUAAUUGUGGUAAAAGUCAUAUAAAACACUGUUUUAACCAUAUUUAACUGUACAAUUCAAUGACAUAACUAUAUUCACAUUGUUGUGCAGCUCUUACCAUCAGCCCUCUCCCGAAGUUUUCACCUUCCUAAACUGAAACUCUGUCCCCAUUAAACACUAACUCUCCAUCCCCUACUGUUGCCCCUGGGCAUGGCAUCUACCGGUGUACUUUCUGACUCUGAAUUUGACUAUUCUAUGUAUCUCGUACAAGUGAAAUAAGCAGUAGUCUGCAUCUACUGUAUAUUGGAAUACAUUUUAAAGGUUAACUUAGUAUGUUCUACUUUUUUUUUUUUUUUUACUCCGUGU